GGGGAUCAGUGAGUAUCUAGGUUCGGCUCUACUCUCCCCCCUUUGGGAACGUCCCGCUGUUGCUUUGGCGGCUCCCGGCGCCACUGACGUGCGAUCUCCAGUCAAAACACUCUCACAUGUGAUUAACACGUUAAUAAACUAAAACUUUGAACAACGGAUCUCAUUGGUUCCGGCAUCGAUUAACAACACCGCAUCUCUUGGC
Molecule: ribosomal RNA, 202 nt
Filed under: uncultured Ascomycota
Lineage: Eukaryota; Fungi; Ascomycota
Description: partial 18S ribosomal RNA
Source: RNAcentral